This is a long non-coding RNA of Leopardus geoffroyi (Geoffroy's cat), 129 nucleotides long. RefSeq lists it as uncharacterized. Lineage: Eukaryota; Metazoa; Chordata; Mammalia; Carnivora; Felidae. The transcript has 3 exons. The record is from RefSeq and is a predicted model, not a curated record.
UGCUGUCCAGUUCUCCCAGCACCAUUUGUUAAAGAGACUGUCUUUUUUCCAUUGGAUGUUCUUUCCUGCUUUGUCAAAGAUGAGUUGGCCAUGUGUCUGUGGGUCCAUUUCUGGGUUUUCUUUUAAUAU